GGUCCCUUAGUAUAGAGGUUUUGUACGAUUCCCCUUCACGGAGUAAGGACCAGUUCAAUUCUGGUAGGGAUCA
Molecule: transfer RNA, 73 nt
Filed under: Cyathus striatus
Lineage: Eukaryota; Fungi; Basidiomycota; Agaricomycetes; Agaricales; Nidulariaceae
Description: tRNA-Glu
Rfam family: tRNA
About the family: Transfer RNA (tRNA) molecules are approximately 80 nucleotides in length. Their secondary structure includes four short double-helical elements and three loops (D, anti-codon, and T loops).
Source: RNAcentral